Molecule: ribosomal RNA, 427 nt
Filed under: uncultured Comamonadaceae bacterium
Lineage: Bacteria; Pseudomonadati; Pseudomonadota; Betaproteobacteria; Burkholderiales; Comamonadaceae
Description: bacterial SSU rRNA
Rfam family: Bacterial small subunit ribosomal RNA
Source: RNAcentral
AGUGGGGAAUUUUGGACAAUGGGCGCAAGCCUGAUCCAGCCAUGCCGCGUGCAGGAUGAAGGCCUUCGGGUUGUAAACUGCUUUUGUACGGAACGAAAAAGCCUUCUCUAAUAAAGGGGGUGAAUGACGGUACCGUAAGAAUAAGCACCGGCUAACUACGUGCCAGCAGCCGCGGUAAUACGUAGGGUGCAAGCGUUAAUCGGAAUUACUGGGCGUAAAGCGUGCGCAGGCGGUUAUGUAAGACAGAGGUGAAAUCCCCGGGCUCAACCUGGGAACUGCCUUUGUGACUGCAUAGCUGGAGUGCGGCAGAGGGGGAUGGAAUUCCGCGUGUAGCAGUGAAAUGCGUAGAUAUGCGGAGGAACACCGAUGGCGAAGGCAAUCCCCUGGGCCUGCACUGACGCUCAUGCACGAAAGCGUGGGGAGCAAA